CCCGCUGAAUUUAAUCUUUUUUUUUUUUUAGUCAGUGGAGGAAAAGAAACUAACCAUGAUUCCCUCAGUAAGGGCGAGUGAACAGGGA
RNAcentral lists this non-coding RNA (88 nucleotides) under Loxodonta africana (African savanna elephant). The record is from Rfam by way of RNAcentral. Lineage: Eukaryota; Metazoa; Chordata; Mammalia; Proboscidea; Elephantidae.